UGCGAGUCAUUGUAGUAAUACAAGGCAGACGGCUCAGUAACGCGUAGUCCACCUAACCUAUGGACGGGAAUAACCUCGGGAAACUGAGUAUAAUGCCCGAUAGAACAUUAUACCUGGAAUGGUUUAUGUUCCAAAUGAUUUAUCGCCGUAGGAUGGGACUGCGGCCUAUCAGUUUGUUGGUGAGGUAAUGGCCCACCAAGACUAUUACAGGUACGGGCUCUGAGAGGAGUAGCCCGGAGAUGGGUACUGAGACACGGACCCAGGCCCUAUGGGGCGCAGCAGGCGAGAAAACUUUGCAAUGUGCGAAAGCACGACAAGGUUAAUCCGAGUGGUUUCUGCUAAAGGAACCUUUUGUCGGUCCUAGAAACACCGAUGAAUAAGGGGUGGGCAAGUUCUGGUGUCAGCCGCCGCGGUAAAACCAGCACCUCAAGUGGUCAGGAUGAUUAUUGGGCCUAAAGCAUCCGUAGCCGGCUCUGUAAGUUUUCGGUUAAAUCUGUACGCUUAACGUACAGGCUGCCGGGAAUACUGCAGAGCUAGGGAGUGGGAGAGGUAGACGGUACUCGGUAGGAAGGGGUAAAAUCCUUUGAUCUAUUGAUGACCACCUGUGGCGAAGGCGGUCUACCAGAACACGUCCCGACGGUGAGGGAUGAAAGCUGGGGGAGCAAACCGGAUUAGAUACCCGGGUAGUCCCAGCUGUAAACUAUGCAAACUCAGUGAUGCAUUGGCUUGUGGCCAAUGCAGUGCUGCAGGGAAGCCGUUAAGUUUGCCGCCUGGGAAGUACGUACGCAAGUAUGAAACUCAAAUGAAUUGACGGA
RNAcentral lists this ribosomal RNA (815 nucleotides) under uncultured crenarchaeote. RNAcentral describes it as "bacterial SSU rRNA". It matches the Rfam family "Archaeal small subunit ribosomal RNA", at positions 52 to 872 of the family's 1478-position model. The record is from RNAcentral. Lineage: Archaea; Thermoproteati; Thermoproteota.